RNAcentral lists this ribosomal RNA (905 nucleotides) under Janthinobacterium lividum. RNAcentral describes it as "bacterial SSU rRNA". It matches the Rfam family "Bacterial small subunit ribosomal RNA", at positions 82 to 984 of the family's 1533-position model. Lineage: Bacteria; Pseudomonadati; Pseudomonadota; Betaproteobacteria; Burkholderiales; Oxalobacteraceae. The record is from RNAcentral.
GCUCUGGUGGCGAGUGGCGAACGGGUGAGUAAUAUAUCGGAACGUACCCUAGAGUGGGGGAUAACGUAGCGAAAGUUACGCUAAUACCGCAUACGAUCUAAGGAUGAAAGUGGGGGAUCGCAAGACCUCAUGCUCGUGGAGCGGCCGAUAUCUGAUUAGCUAGUUGGUAGGGUAAAAGCCUACCAAGGCAUCGAUCAGUAGCUGGUCUGAGAGGACGACCAGCCACACUGGAACUGAGACACGGUCCAGACUCCUACGGGAGGCAGCAGUGGGGAAUUUUGGACAAUGGGCGAAAGCCUGAUCCAGCAAUGCCGCGUGAGUGAAGAAGGCCUUCGGGUUGUAAAGCUCUUUUGUCAGGGAAGAAACGGUGAGAGCUAAUAUCUUUUGCUAAUGACGGUACCUGAAGAAUAAGCACCGGCUAACUACGUGCCAGCAGCCGCGGUAAUACGUAGGGUGCAAGCGUUAAUCGGAAUUACUGGGCGUAAAGCGUGCGCAGGCGGUUUUGUAAGUCUGAUGUGAAAUCCCCGGGCUCAACCUGGGAAUUGCAUUGGAGACUGCAAGGCUAGAAUCUGGCAGAGGGGGGUAGAAUUCCACGUGUAGCAGUGAAAUGCGUAGAUAUGUGGAGGAACACCGAUGGCGAAGGCAGCCCCCUGGGUCAAGAUUGACGCUCAUGCACGAAAGCGUGGGGAGCAAACAGGAUUAGAUACCCUGGUAGUCCACGCCCUAAACGAUGUCUACUAGUUGUCGGGUCUUAAUUGACUUGGUAACGCAGCUAACGCGUGAAGUAGACCGCCUGGGGAGUACGGUCGCAAGAUUAAAACUCAAAGGAAUUGACGGGGACCCGCACAAGCGGUGGAUGAUGUGGAUUAAUUCGAUGCAACGCGAAAAACCUUACCUACCCUUGA